Hordeum vulgare subsp. vulgare (domesticated barley) is the source of this 136-nucleotide non-coding RNA. Lineage: Eukaryota; Viridiplantae; Streptophyta; Magnoliopsida; Poales; Poaceae. The record is from Rfam.
AUAGUACUCCCUCCGUCCUAGAAUUUUUGUCCUAGGUUUGUCUAAAAAUGAAUGUAUCUAAAUAAUAAAACGUGACUAGAUGCAUUCAUAUAUAGACAAAUUUAAGAUAAGAAUUUUGGGACAGAGGGAGUAUUAU